This 4989-nucleotide long non-coding RNA is filed under the name Solanum tuberosum (potato). RNAcentral's name for it is "long non-coding RNA (STUB_LNC004496)". Lineage: Eukaryota; Viridiplantae; Streptophyta; Magnoliopsida; Solanales; Solanaceae. The record is from RNAcentral.
UCAAAAUAGGUUUUUACUUUUUAUCGUUCUUAAUUUCUUUGGUGUUAUCUUUAUUUUGUCUCUUCAAGUAAAUCUGCUCUUUGUCAUUCCUGAAAUUUUCCACCACAAUAAAAAAUCACAACACGGAUAAAGAGCAAAUACAAUUCAGGUAACAAUCUUUUUUUUGAAGUUUAUUGCUUUGUUUAAGUUUUUCCUUGGGUUGUAUCAUGCAUGUGUGAUUGUGUUUUUUUUUUCUUUCAUCCUUUCUUUUGUUUUACGCAUUUUUUCUGAUGGGAUUUCAGUAGCCGACUCUUUAUUUUCUUCUCAUUUUGAAUAUUUUGGUCCAUAAAGAUUUAUAAUUUGAUAAAUCGAAUGAAUUUUAAGCUCAUUAAUAUGAUACUCUGCUAUAUGUCUCCGCGUUUACUGAUUUUCUCAUUUCUGCAAUAAUUAAUCAUUUUAUUCUGAUGUGGUUGCUUCUAUUGCUUUGCUCUUCUUAGUAAGUUUUAAUUAAUUUUUUUUGUCCUCUGCUUGGUGUAUUGGCAGAUGUUCAACAUGCAUGCAUCUAUAUAGUUGAUUGUUUCUUUUUUUUCCUUAAAUAUUUAUUUUAGUUCUAAGUUUGUUAUGUUGAGUUUUUAUCUAUUCCCGCCUUUUAAUGCAUCUUACUGUUAAUGGAAUUCUGAUGAUAUUAGUAUUUUUGCUAUUUAGUUUGAGUAGUUUGUUUUCACAUGCAUAUUGAUAACUACAUUAGAUUUGCACUCUGAUGAAUGGAAGGUGUAUUUGACAAUAUGCCUAAAUCAACUUAAAAAAAAUUCACAAUAGAUUUUCUACAACAACAAAAAAAUGUGUAUGAAGUAAGAGAUAAAAUUAAAACAGGAUUGCUAUAGUAUAAGACGUGAUUCAUGUUCAGUCUAAAGCAUUUCUCUCUCAUUGCUUUAAUUUCUAUUCUACCUCUUAAAUCCUUAAAAAAAUACAUGUCCAACAAAUAUUAGAUCCUUUCUUUCUCUAUCAUUUGUGCAUGUUGCCACUAUGGUAUUCAGAAAUAUCAAGAUUGCUAAUUUUUCCUUUGUUCUUAAUUGUCAAACUUGGUUCCCGAUGAUUUGCAGGUUUCCUCAUCUUUUACCUCCAAUUGACACACAACAAUAAUGUAGCUUCAUCUCCUUAUUAUGGUAUGUUCAUCUUCUCAUAAAUGUCUUUAUUUUGAAAUUGCAAGUAAUUUUACCAUUUUUGAACAAGCCAUUUUCGAUUUGCUUUACUUCACCUAUGUUUUUUUUUUCUUGAAUUGCUUUAAUCUUUUGGUUAUCUCGAUUCUCCGAGUUGGUUAAACGUGAUAUACAUUAAUAACAAAAUUGGUUCUCUCAAUUCUCACUUUGGUGAUCCACAUAUGUGUGCUAUGAACAUCGUAUCACAUAACUUAACUGUACAACAAGAAAUAGUUAUUGUAUUGCAUUUAUGAACUUAUAUAUUUGAUUGGUAACUGAACUUUGGAACUAUUUAAUUGGUAGUUAAAUUACCUCCCCUUCUCUCAUGAAGUGUUGUACUUCUCCUUAAGCAAAUACGUGUACGCAUAUUAGAUAGAUAGGCACACUUUCUCCAUCAUCCUUUUUCACCAAGGAAAUCAUUUCUUAUGCACCUAUUGUGUUUGAUAGUAUGCCGAAGAGAUUGAACAACUCUUAUUUCUUUGUUCUCUCCACAGAGUUUCCACAACAUUUUCCUCUGUCAGACAACUAUCCAAAAGGUAAAUUUUACUUAAUUUCUACUAGACAAUAUUAUUAUAUAGAUCAGUAUGUGUGUUAUUUGUGAUUGGGUUCAAAUUUUUUUGGAACCUGUAUCCUUUGUUUGCCUCUGGUUUGAUUGCAUUUUGAUACUGCAUAAUGACUUUGUUUUUACCAAGAAAUAUUAGUUAUAAAUAAUGUAUGUUGUUUAGAAUUAAACCAAAAUGUGACUUUACUUUAACAAAAUUGAGAACUACUUGCAAUAGUAAUGUUUGACAAACAAGGACGAUGUGUUGCAUGACCCCAAAAUACUGACAUGAGUGUAAUUGGAGAUGUUGUGGGUGAGCACUUUACUUAUGUCUACACUUAGUGUUCUUAAGAUUACCUGAGAAGUAGCGCUGACACAUGGAGUAAUGGUAAUUAUGCUUUCAAUGACCUGAAAUCGUGUCAUUUCUUUCUUCACUUCCUUUCAUUGAUCUUCUAAUGGAACUUGCAAAAGUUGGUUAAAUGUUUCUUUAUAGUCUGUUUUGAGACUUGAUUUUGUUAAGUAGAAUGCAACUUGAGGAUGGUCCACUUGUUCAGUUUGUGCUCAAUGUUAUCACUACCCUUCUGAAAAAGAGUAUUCAUCUGCUUUAUUGGUUGUCUGAGAUAUCUUUAAAUUUUGUUCCUUUUUUUUUCUUCCUUUUAAGUUAUAACUGCAUCGUAAUUCCUAUGAGCUUAUUACUGCAUCCUAAUUCCUAGGAGUUGUCACAACUUUUGGAUAAUCUUCUUGCUAAUCUGUUGUUGUUGGAUAUGCAGGUCAAUGCGGCUAUGAUCUGAACAAGGUUAGUGAUAUCAACUCAACAACUUUGUAUACAUAUGUGUUUUUUGAGGCAUCAAAUGCUAGCAUUAUAUAUGGCUCAAUUUUAUGUUUACAUUCAGCAUAUGCAUGUUUGCACUUAACUCUGUAUGUAGUUACUCAGUAAUUGGCACCACAUUGUUAUAUGCUAAGCAUACAUGUGAAAGUUGCUCUUCUAAGUACAUGCAGAUACCAUCUAGCCUGCCUAUUCUCCCACCCCUUUUAUUAUUACCUAUGAAAUCUUGAAAGUAAGUCCUGUGUUUUGUUUGAUUUGUGUCCAAACUGCGGCUAUACGCUUUUCUAGGUCCUCUUCAAAGUUAAUCUCGUUGCUGGUUUGGAUUUUGUGGCUUAAGUUUAAGCUGUUUUGAUGUAUGUAGUAUGAAGUCAGCAUUUAACUAGAAAAUAAAUUAUGCUCCAUUCUACUUAUCUGAAUAUCUAUUAAGUCUCUAUCACGGUUAAAGUAAUUACCUUAUGUACCUAAACUUAGCUUGUGGAUUUAGGAACCGAUGAAUGAAUUUCUUGCUAACUGUGGUUUACUUUCAUGGCGAGAAACCACAAUGCAUGUGUGGAAUCAUACAUAGUUGCAGGAAGGACGAGGCCAGGUUGUUGGUAGACUUGCAGAAGCUUAGUUCUCAUGCUAACUUGCUAAGUAGAAAAGACAAUGCUCGGCUAUUGCUGUUUGAUCUUCUUAUUCUGAAUAUAUCACCCCUGGCAACUAAUUUUUUAGUUCCUGCUUGGGUGCUUCUAUCUUUUCAUUUCAGAAAUUUUGCAUGCAUACUAGACAUAGAUCGGCUUACUUCUCUACAUAGAUUUACAUAUCGCUCUAACCUUGCAUUUUCACUAUAUGACACCCCCUUUCCUCUGAAUAUGCAGAGUAUGGAUAAGCUGCUAGAUAUGUCUGCAUCAACUUUGAGAAAGAGUGAUGAUAUUAUAAAUAUAGGUGUCAAGAAAGUAAGUUUUCGUGUAUGUCACUUGGUGUUGCUCAUGCUGCUAACUAGGAUGGAUGAGGAUGAGCUAGGCUUUCAACAACAUAGGGCACAUUCGUGAAGUGCAGCUUGACAGCAAUAAGGAAUAAGUCUCCCCCAUCACCGCACCAUUAAGGCCAAAAUAUCGCUAAAGAAAACAUUUGAUUCCAUUGGAUAACAAACUAAUAGCUGAAUUACCAAACCAAGGCAACUGUUGAAUCAUUCAAAUAAUGCACCACCUACUCACUACUCUUCAGCAAAACCCUAAGCUCCAUAUUAUAAAACUCUAAUGCCUCCUCUUCAAUCAUUAUCAGGCAGAGAGAAGAGCAACAAUGUCGAAGCGAGGUACAAUUCGAUUUCAAUCGUAUUUUCAUUGUCUGAUCUCAACUCAAUAUAUUUACUUCAAAACUUGAGAAUUUAGAGAACUUUCAUGUCAUGUAACUCAUUAUUACCUAAGAAACCAAGUUAUUUAAGUCAUAUAAUUCAUAAUAUACCUUGAAUUAAACAUAUUCAAAUGUUUCAUGUAGUUGGGAUGUAGAUUAGUUGAUUGCUUGCUUGAUUUGUUUACCAUAGUAUACUGAAACAAGAUAAGUAGUUUGGUCUCAUGUAUUUUUCAAUUAAAUGUAACUUAAGUAUGAGAUUUAGAGAAAUUUUUAAGUCAUAUAACUGUUAACAUACCUUAGAAUGACAAAUUAUAUAUAGUUACUAGAAUGAAAUGAGUAGUCUAAUAUAGUGGAACCGGUACAAAUUUUUCAUGUAGUCAAUCAUGAGUCCCGGGGAGUUUAGGAAUGUAUUGUAAUGAAAUGAGCUUAAUAGAGUGGAAGAUGUAAAAAUGUUUCAUUUAGUUGGCCUCGAUUAGUUUGAGACUGAAACUUGAUUUAUUGAAUAAUUAGGUUUUAAAAUGUAAUUAAGUACAUAAAGGUUCCACUGGGAACAAGUUCAGGAUGUUGUUGGGUUUGCCAGUGGUAGCUGUUUAUUGUAAUUAGAAUGAAAAGAGAAGCCUAUGUAUUAUACUGAAAUGUGCCUAGUAAAGUGGAAAAUGUGAACAUCUAUCCUUCUAUUAAGACAAGUUAUUGCUAUCAAUUUGAUUUUUGAGGUGUUCCUCUUUCUCCCGACUACUUGCAUGUGAAGCGAACAAUUAUUGUACCAUGAAACAUUUGCACAUUAUCAUUUAACAAAUUACUUCUGGUGGGUUAACAUAAUUCCUUUGAUGCAGGAUACAAAGACAUUUUAUAGUAGCGGUGAUCAGUCUUUAAGAAGUAAGGAAAGUAGUCAUACCGAUUUUGGAAGUUUUUGAUCGCAUCAAUGUUCUAGAUUCACAGGUCAAAUCAAUGUGUCAUUUUUCUUUUGAGUUGUUUCAAAUAUUUUUUUAGCUUUACAACAUGAAUCAAUUCUCGAGUAUGAAACAAUUCUAGAAAAAAUACUAAUCCAUUUCAAUACAUCUCCUCUUUAAUGAAAUAGAUUUUAGAGGCAACAUAUAUGUGAAGUGACUGCU